AUUCUGCCCAUGCGGGGAAGGAUGAGAAGCUUCGACUAAGGUUCGACUCGAGCGCCAGCGAGAGAGCGUUGCCGCAGGCAACGACCCGAAGGGCGAAGCGCGCAGCGCUGAGUAAUCCUUCCCCCUCCACCA
Molecule: small RNA, 132 nt
Filed under: Escherichia coli
Lineage: Bacteria; Pseudomonadati; Pseudomonadota; Gammaproteobacteria; Enterobacterales; Enterobacteriaceae
Description: RtT sRNA
Rfam family: RtT RNA
About the family: This family represents a bacterial cis-regulatory element known as RtT RNA. The exact function of RtT is unknown although it is thought that it may be involved in changing the cellular response in relation to amino acid starvation.
Source: RNAcentral